RNAcentral lists this long non-coding RNA (1103 nucleotides) under Apteryx owenii (little spotted kiwi). RNAcentral describes it as "lncRNA (ENSAOWG00000017524.1)". Lineage: Eukaryota; Metazoa; Chordata; Aves; Apterygiformes; Apterygidae. The record is from RNAcentral.
UGCAAAUCCAGCAGAAUGUGGGGGAAUUGCAGGAACAAGCAGAAAGCUGCUUUGCUUAUUACAGUAGGGACUCGGGGACAGCGUGAGUACGUGGAGCUGAGGCGGAAGGGAAGAGGAUUACUUCCCAGGACCUGCCGACUGGCAGAUUCUUCAGGGUCUCCUUGAAAUCCCCUUUAUGAUAAGGGCUUUCUGCGGUAGAGAAGGAGGCCAGGAGGAGGAGGUUGGCUGAAGGUGAGAAAUUAGCUCGUGUAGAUGUCCUCUGCUUGGCCAAACACGCCGUCCACCUGGCCUAACAUCGCUGUGGCGGAUAACUUGAUCGCUAUGAGGACUGAAGACAGUACUGCGGCACAGCCUCCGUGCUGAGUCACAGCACUGGCGCUAACGCCGGCAGCCGUCGCCUCUUACCACCUGCAGAGGCGAGUAACAGGGCUGCUGUGGCCAGGUCUGAAAGGAGGCGACAAGCUGCGCAGCUCUGCUCUCCUGCUUCCAUCCUGCUUUUUCUCUGGUCUGCUCCAUCUUCUGGUCUAAGGAAUGUCAGCACCUGCUAUAACGCUCCCAUCACUGGAGAACAGACUAAUCCUGACGUGAACCAAAAUAUCCUCCCAGCAAACGGCGUGCUGCCUUGUGGGAGCUGGCGUUUGGGGAAAUCGGGUUUAUCUUACCAGCGGUGUCCCUUCCCGUAAGGCCGCGCAUCACCUCCUUUUCCUCAGCCUGUCGCAGAGCCUGGCUCCUAGAGGAAAAUGGGAACAUCCGCAUGCAGUGCGUCUGGAUUUGAUGGAAGAAUUUAGGCUUUUUUGUAGAAAGAAGGUGCUCGGAGACCUCCUAUUUUGCAUAUAUUGGCUUGUUUUGGUGUUUUCGGGGAGGCCGUGGGGCUGGGGGGGCGCCGUGGGGCCAGCGUGCACACGAAACACGGACAAGAGGCCACCGCGAGGGCCGCGCCGGCACCGGGCCUGGGGGUUUGGUCUCCGCUUCUUGCUUCCCUGCCGGCCGCUGCGGUGCCGGGCUGCUGGGCGGCCGGAGCUGGGAGCAAGUGCAGCCCUCUGUCCUUAGGUGAGUGCAACGCUUAAUAACCUUAAAAAAUAAUAAUGAUACAUUAAAAAAAA